UACGGAGGGUGCAAGCGUUAUCCGGAAUCACUGGGUUUAAAGGGUACGUAGGCGGCGCAUUAAGUCAGACGUUAAAGACCAGAGCUAAACUCUGGCACGCGUUUGAAACUGAUGUGCUUGAAUAUGUUCGAGGUGCGUGGAAUGCUUCAUGUAGCGGUGAAAUGCAUAGAUAUGAAGUAGAACACCAAAUGCGAAGGCAGCGCACUAGGGCAUUAUUGACGCUGAGGUACGAAAGCGUGGGUAGCGAACAGG
RNAcentral lists this ribosomal RNA (252 nucleotides) under uncultured bacterium. RNAcentral describes it as "partial 16S ribosomal RNA". It matches the Rfam family "Bacterial small subunit ribosomal RNA", at positions 524 to 776 of the family's 1533-position model. The record is from RNAcentral.